This 555-nucleotide ribosomal RNA is filed under the name Cryptotermes sp. I05. RNAcentral's name for it is "partial 16S ribosomal RNA". It matches the Rfam family "Bacterial large subunit ribosomal RNA", at positions 1796 to 2622 of the family's 2925-position model. Lineage: Eukaryota; Metazoa; Arthropoda; Insecta; Blattodea; Kalotermitidae. The record is from RNAcentral.
UCGCCUGUUUAUCAAAAACAUCUCCUCUUGUUUAAGUUUUGAGGUAGGGCCUGCCCGCUGAGUUUUACUUGAAGGGCCGCGGUAUACUGACCGUGCAAAGGUAGCAUAGUCAUUAGUCUUUUAAUUGUAGGCUGGUAUGAAUGGUUUGACGAGAUGCAAUCUGUCUUGGGUUGAAUUAUUUAUUGAACUUGGGUUUUAGGUAAAAAUACCUAAAUUUUUUUAUGGGACGAGAAGACCCUAUAGAGUUUUAUUUGAUCUUGACUUAUUUUGUUAGUUUUGUUUUAUAGUUGGGUUUUAAUUUUGCUGGGGCGGUAUGAAGAUUUAUUUAACUCUUCUUUUUAUUUGUAUAUAGAUUAAUAUUUUGUUGAUCCUUUAUUAUUGAUUUUAAGACUAAAUUACCUUAGGGAUAACAGCGUAAUCUAUCUUGAGAGUUCUUAUUGACAGAUGGGUUUGCGACCUCGAUGUUGGAUUAGGAUAAAUUUUUGGUGUAGCAGCUAUAGUAAUUAGGUCUGUUCGACCUUUAAAAUCUUACAUGAUCUGAGUUCAAACCGGAGA